This 151-nucleotide non-coding RNA is filed under the name uncultured Butyricicoccus sp. Lineage: Bacteria; Bacillati; Bacillota; Clostridia; Eubacteriales; Butyricicoccaceae. The record is from RNAcentral.
CAUGCCGCAGGUGAAAAGGGAAAGGAGUGCAAAUCUCCUACGGUCCCGCCGCUGUAAUGGAAGAGUUUGGCGCAUUGUGUGUCACUGGGUUUCUCUGGGAAGGCCGCGCCGGACGAUGAAGCCUGAGUCAGAAAACCUGCCUUUAAGAGUA